This is a long non-coding RNA of Armigeres subalbatus, 959 nucleotides long. RefSeq lists it as uncharacterized. The transcript has 3 exons. The record is from RefSeq and is a predicted model, not a curated record. Lineage: Eukaryota; Metazoa; Arthropoda; Insecta; Diptera; Culicidae.
UAUUUAAUUUGAUUGUUAAAAGUGUUAACUGAUUAAUUUAUGUGUUGUUUCUUUUUGUAGAAGUACGGUUUGUGUUCCUUAAAAACUAUUAGUACGGGCAGUAGUACGUAAACGUUAUAUUUGAGAAGAAUUAAAAGAAAUAGUACGAUUUUGCCCAUAAUGUGCCUGAUCUAAAUGUAUAGAGAUCUAUAAGAAUAGUUGCUGUGAAAAGAGAAAGGUCCAUCAAGGGCCUUUCUCUUUAUUUCUUUUCUUCGGCACAAGUUCCGGCUAGCCGCUGGACCGACAAAACCUCGCUAGAUGCGCACGUCUAUCCGCAAAGUCAUGGAUGAGCAGAAAAGGAAGACAUUCGAGAACCCCCCCCCCCCUUUGGGCAGCAUACGUCGGAGAACGGUGAGUCAGCCAUCUUGGAAGGCCUUUCCAUGCGGGAAGCCGCCUGUCUCCGUGUCGAGUCGGGAAGCAUCGAUAACUGCCCCGAACUUCCGACGAAAGUAUCACCAAGCCACUACGAACCACCCACCGACAUCAGAAUACGCCACCGGAAUCAACAGCAACCCCAUCUGUCAACUGCCACCUACAAGCCAAAACCACUACGGAUCCGGAUCCCAACCAACAAUAUACGCAAGUACCCUAUGUGACGUCAGACGGUAGGAGAAGAGGUGUCCAAAAUGGACAAUUUGUUAAUAAAUAGUUUGUAAUUGGAACUUAGUGGUGCCGUCUACUUUUAUUAGAGCGCAGCCCUGAAUUAUUUAGUUUGCACUUCUUAUUGUUUUUCGUUGUCCGUGUUCAAAAGGGAACAUUCAAGCCUCGUCUUCCUCUGGUGAAUAUAAAAUUGCUUUCUUACGGCUUUUGAGCACCCUUGUUGUAAGGCUUUAUUUGUAUGUCCGUCGUUCUCGUGCAAACUCCUCAAGCAAGUGUUGUUUUAUCAUUGUGUUCCCCGUGCCAAUGAGCCUCACCAAGGA